ACCUGGCUGGUUCAGUCAGUAGAACAUGUGACUCUUGAUUCCAGAGUCAUGAGCUCAAGCCCCAUGUUGGGUG
RNAcentral lists this transfer RNA (73 nucleotides) under Felis catus (domestic cat). It matches the Rfam family "tRNA". Rfam says of the family: Transfer RNA (tRNA) molecules are approximately 80 nucleotides in length. Lineage: Eukaryota; Metazoa; Chordata; Mammalia; Carnivora; Felidae. RNAcentral also lists the same sequence under 5 other names. The record is from Rfam by way of RNAcentral.